RNA transcript from Triticum aestivum (bread wheat), 4192 nucleotides. RefSeq lists it as uncharacterized. The transcript is spliced from 5 exons. The record is from RefSeq and is a predicted model, not a curated record. Lineage: Eukaryota; Viridiplantae; Streptophyta; Magnoliopsida; Poales; Poaceae.
CGACGUGGUGUCUGGUCAGGCGCGCGAGUAGCCGACCGCCUGAGCACGUCGUUUCCCUUCCUCGAUUCCAACCUUUUCCCCAACCUAGCGCUAGCUGAAGGCUCCGGCGGCGGCGGCUGGCCCUCUCCUGCCUCUCCCUCGGUCCCUCCCCUCCCCUCCAUCCGGCCAUCUCACUCCCCUGCCUCGGCCUCCGGCGCCCAGCCCUCUCCUCCGCGGCUCCGCCAGGCGCCAGGCCACCAGUCCGCCUCCGGCCUCCCAAGCGCGGCGGCAGCCGGCAGCCGGCAGCGCCCUCCAGGCUCCAGCCACCGUCCUCGCGCCUCCCCGGCGCGGCGGCAGCACCAUCCAGCAGUCCGGCCUCCGUUCCUCAACAGCCACAAUACCCUGACGCCGGUUGGCCCCGGCACAACGCCGCUCCCCGCCAACGCCCCUCUCCCUCAGCUGCUGACCUCGGCAACGAGCUCACCCACACGCCUCUGCUGCCAGAAGAUUGCCCACAUAGUUUAAAAUAUUCAUAUGAACCUAUGCUUAAUGUAAAAGAGCAUAUGGAAAAUUAUAAACUGAUCUAUUUUGUUUUCAUUACUACAGCUAGCAAAGGCUAAUGGAUCGAGGUUGGAUGAGUAAACCAAGAUCAACUACUGAUUAUAAAGAAGGUGUCGAGCAAUUUCUAUCUUUUGCCUUCCAUGAUGUUCCACUCGGUGAUAAAAUUCUCUGUCCCUGUGUAAAUUGUGGAAAUAAGGCAACGCAGAAUUACGACGAAGUGAAAACCCACCUAAGAUGUGAUGGUAUUCUUCAGGGUUAUACAAAAUGGGUUUGCCAUGGAGAAGAGUAUGAUUCACCGUCAUUUGCAUUUGCUCCCAUGUCAAAUAACAACAACGAUUUUCAUAUUCCGGGUUUUCCAGUGAAUUCUGAUGUAGAAGGCAGUAAUAGAAGAUUGCAUGACAUUUCUGGGCUCUUAAGUGCCAUUUUCCCCAUGGCUGACAGCUUCCAAUCACUAUCAAGCGCAUCUGAUGGGGAACUAGAUGGUGUUCAGUCUGAAUUUGAGAACUUGGAACCUGGUAUGGCUGAGAAUGUCAAUACAACAUCUGCAGAUGAUGAUGCAAUGAGAGAACAAGACAUAUACGCUAGUUUCCUCGAGGAAGCAAACACAGAUUUAUACCCUGGAUGUGCAACAUAUUCGAGGUUGUCAUUUCUUGUCACUUUAUAUCACAUGAAAGUCUUGCAUGGAUGGUCACAGGAAUCAUUCACACAGCUACUUGGUGUAUUAUCGGUUGCAUUUCCUCAGAUAAACCUACCCAAGAAAUAUUAUGAGGUGAAAAAAAUCAUACGCGGAUUAGGGCUGGACUAUGAGAAAAUUCAUGCAUGCCCAAGAGACUGCAUGCUUUUUAGAGGUGAAAGAGCUAACCAGGAGUCUUGCCAUGUGUGUGGUGCCUCUCGUUGGCUUACCAAUGAAAAUGAGAAGAAAGAUUCGGCAACUGAAUCUAAGAAGAAGAAGAAGAAGAAACCAGCCAAGGUGUUGCGAUAUUUCCCAUUGAUUCCAAGGCUCCAAAGGUUAUUUGCAACCAAGAAGACAUCAACUGACAUGCGUUGGCAUGAUGAGGGUCGUACAAAAGAUGGAUUGCUGCGAUGUCCAGCUGAUGGAGAGGCUUGGAAAGAUCUUGAUGCCAGAUAUCCUAAAUUCGCUGAGGAUCCCCGUAAUGCGCGGCUAGGCGUUGGGUCUGAUGGGUUUAAUCCUUUCCGACUCAUGAGUGCAAAACAUAGUACUUGGCCAGUGAUGCUUAUUCCAUACAACCUACCACCUUGGAUCUGCAUGAAGCAAACAUCUCUAAUUUUAUCAAUGAUUAUUCCUGGACCAAGUUCCCCUGGCAAUGAUAUUGAUGUAUAUUUGCAGCCGUUGGUGGAUGAGCUGCAACAUCUUUGGAAGGGUGUGGACACUUUUGAUUCAUGUACCCAGGAGAAAUUUUCUCUUCGAGCUGCACUAUUAUGGACUUUGAACGAUUUUCCAGCAUUAGCUUACCUCUAUGGGUGGAGCACGAGCGGUAAAUAUGCUUGCCCGUCUUGUGGUCCUUUUACAAGAUCAUAUUGGCUAAAGAAGAGUAAGAAAUUUUGUUAUAUGGGUCAUCGCCGAUGGCUAACACAGAAUCAUGUAUUUCGGAGACGAAAGAAGGAGUUUGAUAACACCGAAGAGAUGGAACUUGCACCUAUAUCAAUGAGUGGUAGCUCAGCUUUGAGAAUGUUGCAGGGCAGAGUGUUUGUCUUAGGAAAAAAGGUUGUUGUGGCAAAGAAAGGGAAAGGGAAAAAGAAGGGCAAAGACAGUGAAAAAGGAAUUGAAGGUUCUGAAAAACAGAAGUGUAAAAGAGCGCCUAACAAGAAAUCAGGUAACGUCGCACGUAAACCUGAAAAGAAGCCUGAGGAUUGUUUCAAAAAGAAGUCGAUAUUCUUUGAUUUGGAAUACUGGGAGCACAACAAGUUACGGCACAAUCUAGAUGUAAUGCAUAUUGAGAAAAAUGUCUUCUAAAAUUUAAUUGGAACCUUACUGGAUAUUGAUUCUAAAACAAAGGAUGGCCUUAAUGCACGACUUGACUUAGGAGAAAUUGGAAUUCGAUCUAGCCUUCAACCUCAUGAAGGUGAUAAGGGUAAAACUGAAUUGCCGCAUGCACCUUUUAAUAUGUAUAAAGAAAAGAAGGAGAUUCUUUGUACAGUGGUUAAGAAGUGUAGGACACCUGAUGGUUGUGCAUCAAACUUUUCGAGGUGUGUGAACAUGAAAGAAUUGACAUUGACUGGCCUCAAAAGCCACGACUGCCAUGUUAUUCUACAAGACAUCCUUCCUGUGGCACUUUUACACUGUUAUCCCAGUAAAGAUUUCAUGAUAAUAGUUGUUGAGCUGGCUAAUUUCUUCAAGAAGCUAUGCUCCAAAGUGUUAGAUGUCUCUGAGCUUGACAAACUGCAAGAGAGUAUUGUGAAGACACUUUGUAAUAUGGAAAAGGUUUUUCUUCCAUCGUUUUUUACUGUCAUGGUACAUUUAAUGGUGCAUUUAGUUGAAGAAGCUAAACUUGGUGGCCCGGUGCAUUACAGGUGGAUGUACCCUCUAGAGAGAUCAUUUGUUUGGCUAAAGUCACUUGUGCGCAAUAGAGCUUAUCCUGAAGGUUCUAUUGCUGAAGGAUAUACUGUUGAAGAAUGCUUGACCUUUUGUUCAAGAUUUCUAGAAGGAACCACACGUUUCACAAGAACAUCUAGGAACCCUGAUCCUUCGGAUAAUACAAAGGGCAUGUACAUGUUUGAUAGUGUUGGUGAGCCAAUUGGAAAGGCUGUCACUAUAGGCCAGUUGGACGAUCAGCUUCUAGUUCAAGCACAUAGAUAUGUCUUGCGACACUCUGAUGAGCUUGAUGAUCUUCGUAGAGAAUUUCUGGACCAAGAGAAGAGGAAACCGGGUAACUUAAAUUUGACGGAUGAUGACAAUGAGGAUUUGAUUAGUAGACACUUUGCUGACUGGUUGGAACAAAAGGUUAUACUAGAUGAUGGACUGGAUAUCACAGAAAAGAUAAGAGCAUUAGCCGCAAAACCAAGCAAAUGCGGGGUGCGCUAUAGUGGCUAUAUAAUUAAUGGUUUCAGGUUUCAUACUAUCAGUCGCGAGACAGGACACGUGACACAAAAUAGUGGUGUCGUGAACCUUGCUGAAAAUGGUGUGUCCUAUUAUGGUCGGUUAUCUGACAUCUUCGAGUUGUCAUACAAAGAUUACAAGGUGGUCUUCUUUAAAUGUGAUUGGUAUGAUGUUCAUCACAAAGCUGGUAUUAUAAGAGAUGAGUUUGGAUUCACUCAUGUGAACUUCUCCCGAAAAAUACAUACAGGGGAGAAGUUAGAGGAUGAACCUUUUGUAUUUUCUUCCCAAGUGGACCAGGUCUUCUAUAUCCAAAAUCCGAGAAGUGAGAAUUGGAAUACCAUGGUGAAAUUCAAACCUCGUGAUAUUUUUGACAUGGGUGGAGAACCAUCUUCAGAUGAAACAGAGUAGUCUUUGUGUUUUUAGCUUGUUAUCUGCAGCUAAGAUAUAGGUUUAGCAAUUGUCAUCCAUGCUCCUAGGUAGAAUUACUCCAACAUAAUUAUUCUAGCUGGGUGGAUCUUCUUCGGAAUGUAUGUUACUCUGUGAUGAACGAGCCUAUGGUCUUUUUUUAAUGUGUAUGUUCCCUUUUGUUAUGAA